RNAcentral lists this ribosomal RNA (410 nucleotides) under Bacteroidota bacterium. Its description in RNAcentral is "Bacteroidetes bacterium partial 16S ribosomal RNA". It matches the Rfam family "Bacterial small subunit ribosomal RNA", at positions 355 to 776 of the family's 1533-position model. Lineage: Bacteria; Pseudomonadati; Bacteroidota. The record is from RNAcentral.
UGGGGAAUAUUGCGCAAUGGGGGAAACCCUGACGCAGCGACGCCGCGUGCGGGAUGAAGGCCUUCGGGUUGUAAACCGCUUUUGAUUGGGAGCAAGCUUUCGGGUGAGUGUACCUUUCGAAUAAGGACCGGCUAAUUACGUGCCAGCAGCCGCGGUAAUACGUAAGGUCCGAGCGUUGUCCGGAAUCAUUGGGCGUAAAGGGUACGUAGGCGGGUAAGCAAGUUAGAAGUGAAAUCCUGUAGCUCAACUACAGUAAGCUUUUAAAACUGCUCAUCUUGAGAUAUGGAAGGGAAAGUGGAAUUCCUAGUGUAGCGGUGAAAUGCGCAGAUAUUAGGAGGAAUACCGGUGGCGAAGGCGACUUUCUGGCCAUAAUCUGACGCUGAGGUACGAAAGCGUGGGUAGCAAACAGG